Molecule: RNA transcript, 2338 nt
Organism: Andrographis paniculata
Lineage: Eukaryota; Viridiplantae; Streptophyta; Magnoliopsida; Lamiales; Acanthaceae
Gene name: BTB/POZ domain-containing protein At5g03250-like
Exons: 5
Source: RefSeq, a predicted model, not a curated record
UUAGCUUCAGUCGCUGCAGGAGACGCGGGCGCCAUUCUCCCUCCAUCGAAGCAUUCAAGGCUAAAACGAAGCGUUGCUGUUUACUAAUUCCUGCUAAUUUAAGCUUUUUCGGAAUUUGUUGAUUUUGUUUAUUUUUUUGUUGUUUGGGGAAGGAGGUGGAGGAAUCAUUCAUGGCGCUCAUGACGUUAGGUUCCAAGUCUGAAAUAUUUCAGCGUGACGGCCAAUCAUGGCAUUGCAGUUCUUCUGGUCUCCAGAGUGACGUCACAAUUGAGAUUGGGGAGCUGAAUUUUCAUCUACACAAGUUUCCUUUGAUGUCAAGGAGUGGGCUAUUGGAGAAGCUUCUGAAAGAAUCUAAUUCUACCGAUGGAUCUCCUUGUGUUCUACAACUCAACGAGGUUCCUGGUGGAGCUGCAGCUUUUAAGAUAGUAGCCAGAUUCUGUUACGGCGUUAAGAUAGAGCUUACGUCGAGGAAUGUAGUGAGUGUUAGAUGUGCUGCCGAGUACCUGCAAAUGACAGAAGAGUAUGGAGAGGGAAAUCUAGUAGCACAAACAGAGGCUUUCUUUAUUGAAGUUUUCAGCAAUUGGACAGACACAAUAAAAGCUCUUGAAACAUGUGAAGAGGUUCUGAUGCAGGCGGAAGAGCUUCAUAUUGUGUCGAGAUGCAUACAGUCUCUGGCGACGAAGACUUGCUCUGAUCCCAUGUUGGUCAAUUGGUCUGUAUCUGGAAACAACGAGAACGAUGGCAGCUCAGGAUCUGGGCUGUGGAAUGGGAUACAUAGCGGAACAAAGCCACAGGCUGUGAGUGAUGACUGGUGGUAUAAGGAUGUGUCCUUCCUUAGUUUGCCUCUUUUUAAACGCCUGAUUCGAGCUGUUGAGGCAGGGGGAAUGAGGGCUGAAUGUGUUGCUGGAGCUUUGGUCUUUUAUGCGAAGAAAUACAUACCGCAGAUGAGUAAGCAAUCCAGCUACAAAACUAUGAAUGCAGCUUCAUCAAUUUCGAUCCCUUCUGAGGCUGAUCAAAAAGCACUUCUUGAAGAGAUAGUAGACUUACUUCCGAAUCAGAAAGGAGUGGUUCUAACAAGGUUCCUUCUCAGUUUGUUGAGAACAGCUAUGGUUUUGCAGGCUAGUGCAGCCUGCAGGGAAAAUUUGGAGAGAAGGGUAGGAUUGCAGUUAGACCAGGCUGCAUUAGAAGAUCUGUUGAUACAAAACAUGGGCUACUCCGGGGAGACGUUGUAUGAUGUCGACUGUUUUCAGAGAAUUCUUGAUCAUUUUUCAUCAAUGGAGCAGUCAUCAACUGUUGCUUCUCCAACUGUUGUUGAAGAAAGUCAGUUAAUGGAAGGGACGCGGUCGUUAACAUCCUUGGCAACUGUGGCUGAUCUGGUGGAUGCUUAUCUUGCUGAGGUAGCACCAGAUGUUAAUUUGAAGUUCUCCAAAUUCCAAACACUUGCGGCUGCAAUUCCUGAUUAUGCCAGGACGCUUUCGGAUGGAAUAUAUCGUGCAAUUGAUAUAUACCUGAAGGCACAUUCUUGGCUUACAGACACUGAGCGGGAGCAGAUCUGUCGUCUCAUGAAUUGCCAAAAGCUUUCAAUGGAGGCAUGCACUCAUGCUGCCAAAAAUGAGAGGUUACCCCUAAGAGUGAUAGUGCAAGUCUUGUUCUUUGAGCAGCUGCGAUUGCGAACGUCGAUCUCUGGUUGGUUCUUCGACAACCUGGAGAACUCUGAAAAUCCAAAUUCAGUUUUUGCACACUACAAGAAUGAUAACUCCCGCCAAAGGGAUGGCAAAAUGCCGGGUUUAGAAGAUAUGAGGGAACGGGUAUCCGAUUUAGAGAAGGAGUGCGAAAGCAUGAGAGAGGAGUUUCAUAAGCUGGUUAAAACAAGGAAUUUCUGGAACUUGUUCUUCAGGCGGAGAUCAAACAACACCAAGUCCAAGCCAGUGAAGCAUCGCAGUGUCAAAACAUAAAGCUGUAGCCUUCAAAUGUCCAUCGUUAGGUAAUUCGUGCUACUGUUUGAAAGAUCGAAAAAUAUUUGGAAUGCUCUGAUCGGAGACAGAGCCUUGAGGAUAGAAAUGAGCUGCAGAUCAAUAGGCCUACCUUAUCUGUACGAAGGUAACAUGCGUACGUAGAUAUUUAUUUCCUUCCAAAAAUUUUCAGACCAUGGUAGCUAUAGCUUCUUGCAAUUUUCAAAGUGUUUUAAGGUUAUUGCUGAGUUUAAAUUCAUAGUAUAGAGAUAGUUGCAUGCAGUGGACAAUCUGUAGGCAUAUUUGAAUAAUGUCUUUGCAUGUAUUAUGACAUCACACUGUCUUUGUCUCUAGAAGCUGACUUGGAUUUAAUUGAAUUGAAUUGU